This 572-nucleotide long non-coding RNA is filed under the name Salmo salar (Atlantic salmon). Its description in RNAcentral is "lncRNA (ENSSSAG00000087411.1)". Lineage: Eukaryota; Metazoa; Chordata; Actinopteri; Salmoniformes; Salmonidae. The record is from RNAcentral.
UGACCAGCCCUUCAGCUCUACUGGUUUCUUCUCUGGUUGGAGUUUCAGCACUUCUAGGAGGAGGGAGGCCUUUCUCUCUGAGAGGUCUAUGGACCAGACUGCAGGAGCUGACUGGUAAACUGGCUGUAAUGCUGGAAGGACACUCCUGCCUGUUUGAGUCUCAUAGUCCUUCACAUUGGAGGAAAUCUGAACAAACAGUUUAAAACACAGAUGAUAUACAGCCCUUCAGCUCUACUGGUUUCUUCUCUGGUUGGAGUUUCAGCACUUCUAGGAGGAGGGAGGCCUUUCUCUCUGAGAGGUCUAUGGACCAGACUACAUGACUGGCUGACUGGUAAAGUGGCUUCAAUGAUGGAAGGACACUCCUGGCUGUUUGAUUCCUAUUGUACUUCACAUUGUAGACAGAGAUGAACCCUCUCUAGACUCUGCUUCAUCACUUCUUCUGCUCUCUCAAACACUCGUAUUUCACCCUGGACUGGAAGCUGCAACUCAUUUCCACAGAGACCAAGUAAGCUGGUGAAGUCCAUCUCUGCCUCACUGCUCAGCAAAGUUGUCCAGAGUUGACACAGCAUUGA